Non-coding RNA from Felis catus (domestic cat), 85 nucleotides. The record is from Rfam. NCBI's taxonomy places the organism in Eukaryota, Metazoa, Chordata, Mammalia, Carnivora, Felidae.
GCCUGUGUGGCUCAGUCGGUUGAGCGGCCGACUUUGGCUCGGGUCAUGAUCUCGCGGUCCGUGAGUUCGAGCCCCGCGUCAGGCU